AACGAACGCUGGCGGCAGGCCUAACACAUGCAAGUCGAACGCGCGUAGCAAUACGCGAGUGGCGCACGGGUGAGUAACACGUGGGAACCAACCCAGAGGUUCGGAAUAACCGCGGGAAACUGCGGCUAAUACCGGAUAUCCCCUACGGGGGAAAGAUUUAUCGCCUCUGGACGGGCCCGCGUCCGAUUAGCUAGUUGGUGAGGUAAUGGCUCACCAAGGCGACGAUCGGUAGCUGGUCUGAGAGGACGACCAGCCACACUGGAACUGAGACACGGUCCAGACUCCUACGGGAGGCAGCAGUGGGGAAUAUUGGG
This 314-nucleotide ribosomal RNA is filed under the name uncultured bacterium. Its description in RNAcentral is "bacterial SSU rRNA". It matches the Rfam family "Bacterial small subunit ribosomal RNA", at positions 29 to 368 of the family's 1533-position model. The record is from RNAcentral.